GACGAACGCUGGCGGCGUGCUUAACACAUGCAAGUCGAACGGAAAGGCCCUGCUUUUGCGGGGUGCUCGAGUGGCGAACGGGUGAGUAACACGUGAGUAACCUGCCCUUGACUUUGGGAUAACUUCAGGAGACUGGGGCUAAUACCGGAUAGGAGCUCCUGCUGCAUGGUGGGGGUUGGAAAGUUUCGGCGGUUGGGGAUGGACUCGCGGCUUAUCAGCUUGUUGGUGGGGUAGUGGCUUACCAAGGGUUUGACGGGUAGCCGGCCUGAGAGGGUGACCGGCAACAUUGGGACUGAGAUACGGCCCAGACUCCUACGGGAGGCAGCAGUGGGGAAUAUUGCACAAUGGGCGGAAGCCUGAUGCAGCAACGCCGCGUGCGGGAUGACGGCCUUCGGGUUGUAAACCGCUUUCGCCUGUGACGAAGCGUGAGUGACGGUAAUGGGUAAAGAAGCACCGGCUAACUACGUG
RNAcentral lists this ribosomal RNA (468 nucleotides) under uncultured bacterium. Its description in RNAcentral is "partial 16S ribosomal RNA". It matches the Rfam family "Bacterial small subunit ribosomal RNA", at positions 28 to 507 of the family's 1533-position model. The record is from RNAcentral.